This 499-nucleotide ribosomal RNA is filed under the name uncultured bacterium. RNAcentral's name for it is "partial 16S ribosomal RNA". It matches the Rfam family "Bacterial small subunit ribosomal RNA", at positions 28 to 507 of the family's 1533-position model. The record is from RNAcentral.
GACGAACGCUGGCGGCGUGCUUAACACAUGCAAGUCGAACGGGCCUGUCAUCUUCUUUGGGGGCGGGCUGUGUGGCGAACGGGGGAGGAACCCGUGAGUAACCCUCCCUUUGGUCCUGGGAAACCGUCUGAAAAGCCGGCCAAUUCGGGGAUGUCCGGUUGGUCCGCAUGGGUCGGCCGGGAUAGACUCUCUGUCUUUGGCGUAUCGGUGGGUGCUGGGCUCGUGGGCUAUUAGCUUGUGGGUCGGGUGAUGGCCUACCAAGGCGGUGACCGGUGUCCGGGGUGGGAGGGUGGGCAGCCACACUGGGACUGAGAUACCGCCCAGACUCGUGCGGGAGGAGGCGGUGGGGGGUAUUGCACGGUGGGCGGAAGCCUGAUGCAGCGACGUCGCGUGAGGGAGGGAGGCCUUCGGGUUGUGAACCUCUGUUUCCGGUGGUGAAGGCCCUGGCCGUGUGGUGGGGUUGACGGUAGCCGGGGAUGAAGCGCCGGCUAACUACGUG